Molecule: long non-coding RNA, 342 nt
Organism: Neocloeon triangulifer
Lineage: Eukaryota; Metazoa; Arthropoda; Insecta; Ephemeroptera; Baetidae
Exons: 3
Source: RefSeq, a predicted model, not a curated record
GCAGAAUUCCUGAUGGCUGAAGAGUUACAGUGUCGUCCAGAAUUAAGACCAGAUUUCUUUGGCGUGAUCGAUUUUGGUUGGAGGCAGAACUUUCGCGAAUAUCAAUGCCUUCAAUCCUGCAGGAUUUUAUUUCAAGAGAAAAGGAUUGACUUAUUUUCAACCAAACCUAAAUUUAACGAGCCUGUAUUUAAACCCCAGCAAAAAUUUGUCAAUUGCAUUACGGAGGUUUGUUUGUAUUUUUAAUAAUUUACACCAAUGAACUAACUAAUCCCAAAAAGAGAAGAGAAAUUGUGUAUGUUUGCAAGAGAAAAAUUAGGGGACUUCAAUUGAGGCAGAGCGGCG